AACGCGAAGAACCUUACCUGGGCUCGAACGGCUUAAGAUCAACUUUGGAAACAGAGUCUUCUCGCAAGAGACUUGAGUCGAGGUGCUGCAUGGCUGUCGUCAGCUCGUGUCGUGAGAUGUUGGGUUAAGUCCCGCAACGAGCGCAACCCUUGUCCUGUGUUGCCACUCCCGUAAGGGAAGCACUCUCAGGAGACCGCCAGCGAUAAGUUGGAGGAAGGUGGGGAUGAUGUCAAGUCAUCAUGGCCUUUAUGUCCAGGGCUACACACGUGCUACAAUGGCCGGUACAAACCGCUGCAAACCCGCGAGGGGGAGCUAAUCGGAAAAAACCGGUCUCAGUUCGGAUCGCAGGCUGCAACUCGCCUGCGUGAAGCUGGAAUCGCUAGUAAUGGCGUAUCAGAACGAUGCCGUGAAUACGUUCCCGGGCCUUGUA
RNAcentral lists this ribosomal RNA (430 nucleotides) under uncultured Acidobacterium sp. Its description in RNAcentral is "bacterial SSU rRNA". It matches the Rfam family "Bacterial small subunit ribosomal RNA", at positions 958 to 1385 of the family's 1533-position model. The record is from RNAcentral. Lineage: Bacteria; Pseudomonadati; Acidobacteriota; Terriglobia; Terriglobales; Acidobacteriaceae.